GACGAACGCUGGCGGCGUGCCUAAUACAUGCAAGUCGAACGCAGUGGGGACGGGUGAGUAACACGUGGGUAACCUCCCAUCAGAGGGGAUAACACUUGGAAACAGGUGCUAAACCGAUACUGAUGGAUGGACCCGCGGUGCAUUAGCUAGUUGGUGAGGUAACGGCUCACCAAGGCCACGAUGCAUAGCCGGCCUGGGAGGGGUGUCGGCCACACUGGGACUGGGAAACGGCCCAGACUCCUACGGGAGGCAGCAGGAGGGAAUCUUCGGAAAUGGGCGGAAGGCUGACCGAGCAACGGCGCGUGAGUGAAGAAGGUUUUCGGGUCGUAAAGCUCUGUUGUUAGAGAAGCGGUAACUAACCAGAAAGGGACGGCUAACUACGUGCCAGCAGCCGCGGUAAUUC
RNAcentral lists this ribosomal RNA (403 nucleotides) under uncultured bacterium. Its description in RNAcentral is "partial 16S ribosomal RNA". It matches the Rfam family "Bacterial small subunit ribosomal RNA", at positions 28 to 526 of the family's 1533-position model. The record is from RNAcentral.